Long non-coding RNA from Phasianus colchicus (ring-necked pheasant), 2442 nucleotides. NCBI's taxonomy places the organism in Eukaryota, Metazoa, Chordata, Aves, Galliformes, Phasianidae. The record is from Ensembl.
UAUGGGGCCUCAGUGGGUCCCUAUUGGUCCCUAUGGGGUCUCUAGGGGUCUUCAUGGGUCCCUAUGGGGUCCCUAUGGUGUCCCUAUGGGGUCUCUAUGGGGUCUCUCUAUGGGUUUCCAUGGGUCGCUAUGGGUCUCUAUGUGGUGGUGUGGGUCCCUAUGGGGCAGUGAGGGUUUCUGUGGGUCUCUAUGGGGCACUGUGGGUCCCUAUGGGGUCUCUGGGGGGCCUCUAUGGGGUCUUAUGGGGUCUCUAUGGGUCCCUAUGGGUCUCUGUGAGGCCUCUAUGGGGUCUUAUGGGGUCCCUAUGCGGUCCCUAUGGGGUCCCUAUGGGGUCUGUAUGUGUCCCUAUGGUCCCUAUGGGGCCUCAGUGGGUCCCUAUUGGUCCCUAUGGGGUCUCUAGGGGUCUUCAUGGGUCCCUNNNNNNNNNNNNNNNNNNNNNNNNNNNNNNNNNNNNNNNNNNNNNNNNNNNNNNNNNNNNNNNNNNNNNNNNNNNNNNNNNNNNNNNNNNAUGGGGCAGUGAGGGUUCCUGUGCGUCUCUAUGGGGCACUGUGGGUCCCUAUGGGGCAGUGAGGGUUCCUGUGCGUCUCUAUGGGGCACUGUGGGUCACUGUGGAACCCUAUGGGUCCAUAUGGGGUCUCUGUGGGUCUUUAUACAUCUCUAUGGGGUCCCUAUGGGGUCCCUAUGGGGUCUGUAUGGGUUCCUAUGGUCCCUAUGGGUCCUUAUGGGGUCUCUAUGGGUUCCUAUGGCCCCUAUGGGGUCUGUAUGGGUUCCUAUGGUCCUUAUGGGGUCUGUAUGGGUUUCUAUGGUCCCUAUGGGGUCUGUAUGGGUUGCUAUGGGGUCUGUAUGGGUCCCUAUGGUUCCUAUGGGGUCUGUAUGGGUUCCCAUGGGUCUGUAUGGGUCCCUAUGGGGUCUGUAUGGGUUCCUAUGGGGUCUGUAUGGGUUCCUAUGGGUCCCUGUGGGUCUCCAUGGGUCCCUGUGGGUCUCCAUGGGUCCCUAUGGGGUCCUAUGAGUCCCUAUGGGUCUCUAUGGGUUCCCAUGGGUUCUGUAUGGGUUCCUAUGGUCCCUAUGGGGUCUGUAUGGGUUCCUAUUGUCCCUAUGGGGUCUCUAUGGGGUCCUAUGGUCCCUAUGGGUCCCUAUGGGUUCCUAUGGGGUCUCUAUGGGUUCCUAUGGGGUCCCUAUGGGUUCCUACGGUCCCUAUGGGGUCUCUAUGGGUCCCUAUGGGGUUCUAUGGUCUCUAUGGGUCCCUACGGGGUCCUAUGAGUCCCUAUGGGUCUCUAUGGGGUCUGUAUGGGUUCCUAUGGUUCCUAUGGGGUCUGUAUGGGUCCCUAUGGUUCCUAUGGGGUCUGUAUGGGUUUCUAUGGUCCUUAUGGAUCCCUAUGGGUCCCUAUGGCGUCUCUAUGGGUCCCUAUGGCGUCUCUAUGGGUCCCUAUGGGGUCCUAUGAGUCCCUAUGGGUCUCUAUGGGUCCCUAUGGGGUCUGUAUGGGUUCCUAUGGUCCCUAUGGGGUCUCUAUGGGUUCCUAUGGUCCCUAUGGGGUCUCUAUGGAUCCCUAUGGGGUCUGUAUGGGUCCCUAUGUGCUCCCAUGGGUCCCAAUGGGGUCGGUAUGGGUCCCUACGAUCCUCUCACCGCGCUGCGCUCCAGGAACCUGGCCCCAAAUUCCUGGAAGAGUUUCCUGCCCUCUUUGGGGUGGGGGCGGCGCAGCAGCAGCUGAGCGUGCAGCCAACAAAGCUGGGAACAGAGGGGGGGGGUCACCAAAAACACCCCAAAUUCCCCCAAAAUGGCCCAGACCCCACAACGGCCCCAAAUCGCCCCCUAAACGGCCCCAAAUGGCCCCAAAACGGCCCCAAAUGGCCCUAAAAUGACCACAAUAGACACCAAACAGACCCAAAAUUGUCCCCAAAGACCCCAAAUGACCCCAAUUGGCCCCAAUUGUCCCCAAUUGGCCCCAAAUCGCCCUAAUAUGACCCCAAUAGACACCAAACAGACCCAAAAUUGUCCCCAAUUGUCCCCAACUGGCCCAAAUUGGCCCCAAAUCACCCUAAAAUGACCCCAUAGACCCCAAACAGACCCAAAAUUGUCCCCAAAGACCCCAAAUGACCCAAAUUGGCCCCAACUGGCCCCAAAACGGCCCCAAAUCGCCCUAAAAUGACCCCAAUAGACCCCAAACAGACCCAAAAUUGUCCCAAAUUGGCCCCAAAUGGCCCCAAAUGGCCCUAAAAUGACCCCAAACAGACCCCAAACAGACCCAAAAUUGUCCCAAAUUGGCCCUAAAUUGGCCCCAAAUGGCCCUAAAAUGACCCCAAUAGACCCCAAACAGACCCAAAAUUGUCCCAAAUUGGCCCCAAAUUGGCCCCAAAUGGCCCUAAAAUGACCCCAAAGACCCCAAACAGACCCAAAAUUGUCCCCAAUUGGCCCCAAUUGUCCCCAAACUGCCCCAAAACGGC